RNAcentral lists this ribosomal RNA (316 nucleotides) under Acanthurus nigroris (bluelined surgeonfish). RNAcentral describes it as "partial large subunit ribosomal RNA". It matches the Rfam family "Bacterial large subunit ribosomal RNA", at positions 2194 to 2569 of the family's 2925-position model. Lineage: Eukaryota; Metazoa; Chordata; Actinopteri; Acanthuriformes; Acanthuridae. The record is from RNAcentral.
UAGACACCAAAGCAGACCAUGUUAAUCACCCCUGGAUAAUGGGUUAAACAAUAUUGAACCCUGCCCUAAUGUCUUCGGUUGGGGCGACCACGGAGAAAUAAAAAACCCCCGCGUGGAAUAGGGAUACUAUCCCCACAGUCACGAGCCUCCGCUCUAUCAAACAGAACAUCUGACCAACCAGAUCCGGCAAUGCCGACCAACGGACCAAGUUACCCUAGGGAUAACAGCGCAAUCCCCUUCUAGAGCCCAUAUCGACAAGGGGGUUUACGACCUCGAUGUUGGAUCAGGACAUCCUAAUGGUGCAGCCGCUAUUAAG